CCCUUCCCAGGAGAUUUCAUUCCUACAACAUUCCCAUCCGCUAAUGUGAUGAGCAUGAAACAAUAUAGACAUAGCCGUUAAACCCACGGCUUAUCCUAAUAGCAAAUCCACCCAAACACUUCCCGGGUCAUGACCCCCUCUGUGUAGAUUGAUUCCAAAUAUCACCGGUGAUUCCGACUAUCAAUCCGAUGCACAAUCAGCAUCUUGGGCAGAACAGAGAGCAACUAGGCAUGUUAUAUGUUACCGUUGGGUGAAGCUGAGGAAUUUGGUUGAAGCCGCAUCUGCGCUGAUCCCGUCCAUGAUCCAUGCAUGGGGACCCCCCACUCCAGGCAAUGAAUCGAAAUCUCUCUAUGUAGAAAUAUCAGCAGGGGAUCCAACCCCCCGUGGGCAUCCCAGGAAGGACGGUGUUCCCGACCCCCUGUCUACACUCGGGCACAAGUCACUGGGAUCUGCAGCCCAUUGAAUACAAGGGAAUCACUGGAAGAUCUGUCGAAUGAUUUAUGAGGUUCCUGGAGAUGUUAUUUCUACCCAAAUGCCACUGAGCAAUAUGAUUGCCGCGAGCUGUGCCAUUUGUAUUUGUAAUCUCACUACCCCCCCCCCAGAAUAUUUCUGUACCUGAAGUAUUCCCAGUGACAUUUGUACCGCUAAUGUGCAAUGAUGAACUUCUCUUCCCUUCAGUGUCACUCACAUGCACCUCUUUCCCCACUCCUCCUUAUAUUACUCUAUUUAUCUUCUCUCUAUUUAUCUUUUCUCUGUUCAUCUUCAUUCCUAGUGUUUCAACUUAAAUGCGACAUAGAGCAGCAAAUAUGCACUCAUGUUACCAACUGCCAACUGUCUCCUUUUGCUUCUAACCAUAGAUAUAUAGAAACAUUGGGGUAACAGUCACCCUGCUAUAGUUCCAGGGGUACCCAGGGCACAAAUAAACACUCACCCCAAAUCUCCCCCUAACUGACCUUCA
Xenopus laevis (African clawed frog) is the source of this 958-nucleotide long non-coding RNA. RefSeq lists it as uncharacterized. Lineage: Eukaryota; Metazoa; Chordata; Amphibia; Anura; Pipidae. The record is from RefSeq and is a predicted model, not a curated record. The transcript is spliced from 3 exons.